RNAcentral lists this ribosomal RNA (730 nucleotides) under Bacillus subtilis. Its description in RNAcentral is "bacterial SSU rRNA". It matches the Rfam family "Bacterial small subunit ribosomal RNA", at positions 557 to 1288 of the family's 1533-position model. Lineage: Bacteria; Bacillati; Bacillota; Bacilli; Caryophanales; Bacillaceae. The record is from RNAcentral.
GGCGUAAGGGCUCGCAGGCGGUUUCUUAAGUCUGAUGUGAAAGCCCCCGCCUCUACCGGGGAGGGUCAUUGGAAACUGGGGAACUUGAGUGCCGAAGAGGAGAGUGGAAUUCCACGUGUAGCGGUGAAAUGCGUAGAGAUGUGGAGGAACACCAGUGGCGAAGGCGACUCUCUGGUCUGUAACUGACGCUGAGGAGCGAAAGCGUGGGGAGCGAACAGGAUUAGAUACCCUGGUAGUCCACGCCGUAAACGAUGAGUGCUAAGUGUUAGGGGGUUUCCGCCCCUUAGUGCUGCAGCUAACGCAUUAAGCACUCCGCCUGGGGAGUACGGUCGCAAGACUGAAACUCAAAGGAAUUGACGGGGGCCCGCACAAGCGGUGGAGCAUGUGGUUUAAUUCGAAGCAUCGCGAAGAACCUUACCAGGUCUUGACAUCCUCUGACAAUCCUAGAGAUAGGACGUCCCCUUCGGGGGCAGAGUGACAGGUGGUGCAUGGUUGUCGUCAGCUCGUGUCGUGAGAUGUUGGGUUAAGUCCCGCAACGAGCGCAACCCUUGAUCUUAGUUGCCAGCAUUCAGUUGGGCACUCUAAGGUGACUGCCGGUGACAAACCGGAGGAAGGUGGGGAUGACGUCAAAUCAUCAUGCCCCUUAUGACCUGGGCUACACACGUGCUACAAUGGACAGAACAAAGGGCAGCGAAACCGCGAGGUUAAGCCAAUCCCACAAAUCUGUUCU